GCUGCCAGCGUCCAGCUUCUCAAUCUGAUCUCUAUUUUCCCUCUAUCAUCUCCAGGCUGAAAAUAAUCUGUGUGGAUUCCUGUGAGCCUUUGUGUUUGCUUGGGGAGAUGUUGGCGCACAAGGAUCGCGUUACAACUUUCAUUUCCUGAAAUGUUUGAGGGAACAUCCAGGGUUUUAUCCACACAUCAGGCAAAACCGGAGGCUCGGGUUUCAAGCCCUGUCAUUCAGCUGUCACCAAAACAAACGGGCCUCUCAGCGAUGGAGACUGUGAGAGCUACCUGCUAUUCAUGACCCCCUGAAACAGGUGAUCACUCAUGGGAAGAAGAGGUUCAGAAUGGAAGAUCUGCAAUGUAUUACGAUUGGCAAGGAUUCAUGGUGUGCUUAAUUGACAGUGGUCCCAGAGGUUUCCUCCCCUCCAGGGUUCUUUCCUUUCUCCUUCCCUCUUUGCCCCUGGGUCAGGAAUCUGAAGUGUCAAAUCUGAAGGGAAGGUUUCACACUCCCUUAAAACUCCAGGGCAGGCCUGGCUGAGCUUUGUUUUGUCAAUGAAGAUUUGAUAGUUUUGACCAUGUUUCCAAAAGUGACAAUUCCCCCAAAUGUCCCGAACGUUUGCACAGAAGAACAGUCCAAUAAUUCAAACUAUGACCAUGUUGUAAAGCAAUAUAAAAAAAUGCACCUCUUGUGUUCCGAAACAUAACAACCGUUUUCAUAUGCAAAACGAAUGGUCCUCGUUGUGUAUCAAGUAGUUUGUCAUGUUGCCAAAAUAAAUGCCAAUUUAAAUGGUACUCUAGGCCUAUGAAUAGAGUACAGAAUUCUAUUUGUUUAUCAAAAGAACACUUUUUUUUUCUAUAACGUACCACAUAAAGCCAGCCUUGCUUGUUUGUAUUGAUAAUUAUCUGAGGUAGAGAGGCUAAACAAAGAGACUGAAUAUAAAAUGAAUUGCAUUCUUACAACACUGGCUGAAAAUAAAUAUUUUAUUUACAGGUGCUGUGGUAUUAACAUGUCUGUUUAGUAAGGAAAAGGCAUUGCAAUUAAA
Acipenser ruthenus (sterlet) is the source of this 1033-nucleotide long non-coding RNA. RefSeq lists it as uncharacterized. The transcript is spliced from 3 exons. NCBI's taxonomy places the organism in Eukaryota, Metazoa, Chordata, Actinopteri, Acipenseriformes, Acipenseridae. The record is from RefSeq and is a predicted model, not a curated record.